GAUGAACGCUGGCGGCGUGCCUAAUACAUGCAAGUCGAGCGAACGGACGAGAAGCUUGCUUCUCUGAUGUUAGCGGCGGACGGGUGAGUAACACGUGGAUAACCUACCUAUAAGACUGGGAUAACUUCGGGAAACCGGAGCUAAUACCGGAUAAUAUUUUGAACCGCAUGGUUCAAAAGUGAAAGACGGUCUUGCUGUCACUUAUAGAUGGAUCCGCGCUGCAUUAGCUAGUUGGUAAGGUAACGGCUUACCAAGGCAACGAUGCAUAGCUGACCUGAGAGGGUGAUCGGCCACACUGGAACUGAGACACGGUCCAGACUCCUACGGGAGGCAGCAGUAGGGAAUCUUCCGCAAUGGGCGAAAGCCUGACGGAGCAACGCCGAGUGAGUGAUGAAGGUCUUCGGAUCGUAAAACUCUGUUAUUAGGGAAGAACAUAUGUGUAAGUAACUGUGCACAUCUUGACGGUACCUAAUCAGAAAGCCACGGCUAACUACGUG
RNAcentral lists this ribosomal RNA (497 nucleotides) under uncultured bacterium. RNAcentral's name for it is "partial 16S ribosomal RNA". It matches the Rfam family "Bacterial small subunit ribosomal RNA", at positions 28 to 507 of the family's 1533-position model. The record is from RNAcentral.